Long non-coding RNA from Daphnia magna, 1791 nucleotides. RefSeq lists it as uncharacterized. The record is from RefSeq and is a predicted model, not a curated record. The transcript is spliced from 2 exons. NCBI's taxonomy places the organism in Eukaryota, Metazoa, Arthropoda, Branchiopoda, Diplostraca, Daphniidae.
GGGAAGAUUUUAUCGAAACAUAGCCAUUUCUAUAAUUAUUUUAAAUUUUGAACUUUGAGUUUCCCGUUUAUAAUUAAUUUCCCUGUGAAAGGGGCUGACCCAUGGGCACUUGGGUGACUACACGGCAAUUUUAAUAAAAAAGCACCAAUGCGUAAUUAAAUUCUAUUUUAUAAAACGAAAAAAGAUUUAAAAUUGGUAUAAACAUUGCAUUUGUAUAAAUAAAAUAAUUACAAACAUUAAACUAAAUAAAAGAAGAAACAAAUGAAACGGCAGCCCUGCAGAAAACUCCACUGUGGAGAGUGUGCACGAAAAAACGCAUCGCGACUUAUAGAAAAGUACAUCGCACCGUGCAGGAAAGUGCAUCUCGCUGUAGGCUACCAUCGCUGAGAAUCACCAAGAAGCGUCUCUGAGAGCCGUCGCGAUGAUCGAUAUCUGGUUGCAAAUAAAAAUAAUAAUACAGCAUUUGCUACUAUUCGUCUGCUAUUCUGCUUGUUGGGGUCUGCUGUUGUUUUACAAAAGUAUCCGCUUGGAUCAGGCAUUUUUACUGAUCCAAGCUGAGAGUCUCAGUCACUUGAUACGACCCAAGACGAUCCAUGUUGUUUCAUUCAGCAAUCAAAAACUGUGCAGACGACGGUGAUAAACAUAACAGAAUGUCGACAACUUUAUGGCAGAGGUGUGCGAAAGUUAUCUUAAAUGAAGUUAACGGAUCGUUAACGCGUUAAAGUCGGGACGCGUUAAGCUAUUUCUUAGCAACAUUUCUUUCAGUUAACGGGCAGUUAACGGCGACAUGAAAACGCCAAAAUUUGGAGGAGAAUUUAACGCGUUAAAAUUUUUAACAAAGUUAAACUUGAAUGGAAAGCACAUAAUCCAUAAAUAAAGAAAAUUUGUGGGCAUUUCGGGCUCUCGGCAAUGUUCUAAAUGUUACGUAUAAUAAAUUUAAAUGUGUAAAGCCGACAGUACUGUUAUUUGUAUUCAAAUUCAAGUUAGAAUCAGAGUCAGAGGUCAGACGACUAUUCGUCGUAGUCGUUCGUAGUUUCGUACUUCGUAAUUCGUGACUUCGUGAUUCAUGCCUCUUAGAUUGUACAUUGUAAGUCGUACCUUGUUUUGAGUCGUGUACGUGUAGUGCUGGCGUCAUUGAAUUUGGUAUUUGAAUUGGAAUUUUACGUACUUUUUGGAGCCUUGAAAACUGAAAGGGGUAAUAAAUAAUAUUAUUAUUGAAAUCUUAUACUUAUACAUCUGUAAGGUCUAACCGUUCAAUCAUUGACAUAUAAAUUAUAUGUUUUGCAAUAGCACAAAGACAAACUUCGAAAGUAAUUUGAAGUAUACGUAUUGGUUUUCGUGAAGAGCAAAAGAAUUUUGAUGUGCUUCUUUCCCGCUCACAGAAAUUGGUGAAAGAAUGGUUCGAACAAAAAAUACUGUAUGUAGUCCUUCACUGACUAAGAGCUCGAAGGCUAGCAAUACCAAAUCUAACAAUAACAAAGAUCUGACUUCGUCAUUCAACGAAGCAGUUGACCAAGCUGAAAGUGCAUGUGGAACGUCAGCUUCUACACUCUCAGUUUUUUGGGGGUAUUCGAGGGUAUUCGAACUAGUAGCGUUUUGGUUUUUGCUACUAAUAGUAUAGGGGGGGUAUUCUAUUAGUAGCAUACCUGUUCUAGAAUAGGGGUUCGAAUAUCCCCCGAAUACCCCCUAUACUAGGGAUAUUCGAUUCCUACUAGCAUCCUGAAUUUACCCUUCCCCCGAUUCUUCAUGCAUACCCACCAAUCUAUAAAUAUACUGCUUCACGACUAUGAA